Molecule: long non-coding RNA, 735 nt
Organism: Triticum dicoccoides
Lineage: Eukaryota; Viridiplantae; Streptophyta; Magnoliopsida; Poales; Poaceae
Exons: 3
Source: RefSeq, a predicted model, not a curated record
CUUCUCAAAGCGCAGUUGACCAGCCCCGCCGCUUAUUAUCCCCUCAGUCCUGCGGCUCACAUUCACCUCUCUCUCAACGCCGGUCGCCGCCUAGAUGUGUCACCUGACUUGCCACCGUCCUCCACUCUCGUCUCAGAUUUGACCCCAAAGUCAAGCGGUAGGCAGCAGCAGCAGGUUCCCGUGUCGCCAUGAGCUGGAUGGGGAAGCGGGGGUUGGGUGGGGAGAGCCCGCACUGGCGGAGAAGACGGACGAGGACUGGCGGCCUCGGAGCUACUGGCGGCCCCGGAGGUACCUCGCCGCCGCGUCCAGUUCGACCCUGCCUCCUGCAAGCAUGGCGACUUCUUCGACACCGUCUGAGCGGGCCACGACCUAACCACGCCCAAUCUCUUCAGGAUGACCCGCUUGCAUCAUAGGCGUGUCUCAAUGGCUAGGUCGAACAGGUCUUCUUCUAGUGCCUCCGUAGGAAACAAUGGAUCAACUCAGUCAACUGUACAGGCUAAAAAGCCUAGAACACCAAGAACUAGGACUUCAGCCGGUCUCAGACUAGAGGAAAUUGACCGACCGCUUAUAGUUCCCAUUGGCAUGGCAUGGGAAAGGCACCCAUACAGCGCUCGUGAUCCAUCAACGGUGUUAGGUGCCUUAGUGCGCCAGAUGUAUCCACCGCCAAUUGGUCCAAAAAAUGAUCAGAAACCGGUAUUGUGUUGGGAGGACUACAAGUGGUCCCCUGGUCCAGAA